RNAcentral lists this ribosomal RNA (1554 nucleotides) under Salmonella enterica subsp. enterica serovar Bareilly. Its description in RNAcentral is "bacterial SSU rRNA". It matches the Rfam family "Bacterial small subunit ribosomal RNA". The record is from RNAcentral. Lineage: Bacteria; Pseudomonadati; Pseudomonadota; Gammaproteobacteria; Enterobacterales; Enterobacteriaceae.
UUAAAUUGAAGAGUUUGAUCAUGGCUCAGAUUGAACGCUGGCGGCAGGCCUAACACAUGCAAGUCGAACGGUAACAGGAAGCAGCUUGCUGCUUCGCUGACGAGUGGCGGACGGGUGAGUAAUGUCUGGGAAACUGCCUGAUGGAGGGGGAUAACUACUGGAAACGGUGGCUAAUACCGCAUAACGUCGCAAGACCAAAGAGGGGGACCUUCGGGCCUCUUGCCAUCAGAUGUGCCCAGAUGGGAUUAGCUAGUUGGUGAGGUAACGGCUCACCAAGGCGACGAUCCCUAGCUGGUCUGAGAGGAUGACCAGCCACACUGGAACUGAGACACGGUCCAGACUCCUACGGGAGGCAGCAGUGGGGAAUAUUGCACAAUGGGCGCAAGCCUGAUGCAGCCAUGCCGCGUGUAUGAAGAAGGCCUUCGGGUUGUAAAGUACUUUCAGCGGGGAGGAAGGUGUUGUGGUUAAUAACCGCAGCAAUUGACGUUACCCGCAGAAGAAGCACCGGCUAACUCCGUGCCAGCAGCCGCGGUAAUACGGAGGGUGCAAGCGUUAAUCGGAAUUACUGGGCGUAAAGCGCACGCAGGCGGUCUGUCAAGUCGGAUGUGAAAUCCCCGGGCUCAACCUGGGAACUGCAUUCGAAACUGGCAGGCUUGAGUCUUGUAGAGGGGGGUAGAAUUCCAGGUGUAGCGGUGAAAUGCGUAGAGAUCUGGAGGAAUACCGGUGGCGAAGGCGGCCCCCUGGACAAAGACUGACGCUCAGGUGCGAAAGCGUGGGGAGCAAACAGGAUUAGAUACCCUGGUAGUCCACGCCGUAAACGAUGUCUACUUGGAGGUUGUGCCCUUGAGGCGUGGCUUCCGGAGCUAACGCGUUAAGUAGACCGCCUGGGGAGUACGGCCGCAAGGUUAAAACUCAAAUGAAUUGACGGGGGCCCGCACAAGCGGUGGAGCAUGUGGUUUAAUUCGAUGCAACGCGAAGAACCUUACCUGGUCUUGACAUCCACAGAAGUUUCCAGAGAUGGAUUUGUGCCUUCGGGAACUGUGAGACAGGUGCUGCAUGGCUGUCGUCAGCUCGUGUUGUGAAAUGUUGGGUUAAGUCCCGCAACGAGCGCAACCCUUAUCCUUUGUUGCCAGCGGUCCGGCCGGGAACUCAAAGGAGACUGCCAGUGAUAAACUGGAGGAAGGUGGGGAUGACGUCAAGUCAUCAUGGCCCUUACGACCAGGGCUACACACGUGCUACAAUGGCGCAUACAAAGAGAAGCGACCUCGCGAGAGCAAGCGGACCUCAUAAAGUGCGUCGUAGUCCGGAUUGGAGUCUGCAACUCGACUCCAUGAAGUCGGAAUCGCUAGUAAUCGUGGAUCAGAAUGCCACGGUGAAUACGUUCCCGGGCCUUGUACACACCGCCCGUCACACCAUGGGAGUGGGUUGCAAAAGAAGUAGGUAGCUUAACCUUCGGGAGGGCGCUUACCACUUUGUGAUUCAUGACUGGGGUGAAGUCGUAACAAGGUAACCGUAGGGGAACCUGCGGUUGGAUCACCUCCUUACCUGAAAGAA